CUCUAUACCUGUAACAGUAGCUGAAUUGUCCACACCAGUCUCCGCUAUGGGUAAGAUGCUUGCAUUGUUAUCUUCAACUAUUGUACAUCUUGUAAGGACUGAAAAGCAUUAUGCAUUAAUUAUGUGAAUACGAAAAGUGCACAUAACUCAUGCGUAGCAGAUUAUGAUAGGUUAAAGCAUGCCCGUAGAUUUAACUUCAACAAUUAUCACGCUAUGAAAGCUUGCGAAUGUUCGUUAACACAUGUGUAGUAAUUUCUCAUAGAAAUGCUGCAUACCUGUAGAAACGUCCUCUUCUGGUAGCUGAUCAACCGCCCUGCUUCUUGAAUUACCCAUGUGUACCUAUGAAAUUAAUUGCUAUACAUCAGUUAAAUGCUGUAUUGGCAAUGAGAAUAUACUGUAAGCUGGCAUGAGUAUAUUUAAUUGGCACCAAAACAGGUUGUGUGCACAUACUGGACCAGAUAUAUAAAAAACGGUGGUUUUGCUAGUAGUUCGAAAAGGCAAGUGAAUUCUGAUGGGAAAUUAAUGUUAGCUAUGCAAAUACAAUUAUGGUCUCCCAUCAAUGUAACAUGGAAUGUUGGUUACGGAGUCGUAUUUGGACUAAAUCAAUUUCAACCACCUGAUGCUCACAUUGGCAUAAGACCCUUGACUUUUUUCAGAUGGCAUAGACUGCUAGAUUGUUUACUAUUGCAUGGAACCUAUUAGAUUAAAGUGUUAUAACUACCUUAUGUUUGUGUCACUUUUUGCAUGUGAUGCUGUUUCGAGGAUGGAAAAUGGAGAUCCUCUGAAGUUGUGAGAUGCAAACUCGAUGACACCGUCCCCGAUGCCUGUUGCUACUUGAUGAUUCACCACCUGUGUGCACAUACUGUCAAAUAGUGAUAAACAGGUAUGGCUGUCAAAUAGUGACAAACAUUUCCCAUUCAAAACGGUGGUUCAUAUGGGAGGAUGACAUUAUUUCCCACUCUGAACGAUUUUAUUCAUCCAGCCUGUACCUAUUGAUGCCAGCUUACAGUAUAUUCUCAUUGCCAAUACAGCAGUUAACUGAUGUAUAGCAAUUAAUUUCAUAGGUACACAUGGGUAAUUCAAGAAGCAGGGCGGUUGAUCAGCUACCAGAAGAGGACGUUUCUACAGGUAUGCAACAUUUCCAUGAGAAAGUACUACACAUGUGUUAACGAACAUUCGCAAGCUUUCAUAGCGUGAUAACUGUUGAAGUUAAUUCUACGGGCAUGCUUUAACCUAUCAUAAUCUGCUACACAUGAGUUAUGUGCACUUUUCGUAUUCACAUAAUUAAUGCAUAAUGCUUUUCAACCGCCCCCUGACUAUUUCCUGUUGGCAUAGAAACCUUAACUUUUGCAUGUCACCAAUUAGAGUCAAGCCUCUUACCUACCUUAUGUUUGUGUCAACUAACCUCCAGAUGCUGCUGCUGAUGACACCCCACCCUGGGGCCGGCACCAGGCCCAAACUCCUGUCAGUUAUGUGCACGAAAACUGAGUUCCUUGCAAUGAGAUGAUUCAAUUUAGGGCUGAUAAAAUGAGAGCAAGAGGUAUGGCACAGUUGAGGAUGUUGAACCGAGAUCACAAUGCCAGUACGACCACGGAACCGAUCAGAGAUGCAGAUUUGUAAGAGUAGUAAUUGUAAAGGUAGGAAUAUGUAAACGCCACACCUGACACCUGAUUUUGCAAUCGCCACUCCGGCGGCGACUGGAUCGCACGCACGUCCGCUGAAGAGCGACGGAUCGGGGACGUGAGCCUGUCUUUGCACCCGGACGGCGUCGUCGCCGGGAUAAGACUGCACGCUGUGAAAGAGACCUACUGUAUGAGCGCUUGUGGCGGCGGACAAGGGUUUCAGGGUUUGUGACGGCGGCCAAGGGUUUGAGGGGCGGGGACGAAUGACCGCGGCUCGCAAUGGGAUCGAGGUCAAGACGAUCAGAUCGAUCAGCCCGUCAUUUCGUAGGUUAACCGUGAUUGAUCG
RNAcentral lists this long non-coding RNA (1968 nucleotides) under Triticum aestivum (bread wheat). RNAcentral's name for it is "long non-coding RNA (TAES_LNC027961)". Lineage: Eukaryota; Viridiplantae; Streptophyta; Magnoliopsida; Poales; Poaceae. The record is from RNAcentral.